This 158-nucleotide ribosomal RNA is filed under the name uncultured bacterium. RNAcentral's name for it is "partial 16S ribosomal RNA". It matches the Rfam family "Bacterial small subunit ribosomal RNA", at positions 355 to 509 of the family's 1533-position model. The record is from RNAcentral.
UGAGGAAUAUUGGUCAAUGGGCGAGAGCCUGAACCAGCCAAGUAGCGUGAGGGAAUAAGGCCCUACGGGUCGUAAACCUCUUUUGCCGGGGAGCAAGGGCGGGGACGUGUCCCGGCCCGGAGAGUACCCGGAGAAAAAGCAUCGGCUAACUCCGUGCC